UUAAAAACCACAGACCUACAUAGACUAAAGGUAAAACUUAAGUAUGCAUUAAGAACUUUUGCUGCUUCAUUUUCCAGCAUGUUAAUAGUCCCUUCAAAACACAACUAGCCUCACCUCUAUAGAACCUAGAAGCAAUGUAGUAGGCAUUGGUCGUGGUAGGAUCACUUGGCGUUACACACCUGAGCGCCUCGGGAUGGCAAAUGUCACAGAACAUCCAGCUAAUCAGGGUAUCAUUAAUGGUAUUGCACCAAAUGGAGAUGCCCAAGAAGAAGAUCUCAUUGCUCGUAAACUUACAGAAAUGCAGGAUAUCCAUUUGCUGCCCAUCAAAGAGGAUAUUGCAGAAUGGAUAACGCACAGUUGGGGUAGAAAUUACUCCAAGUACAUUUCUAGAUGUACUAGACAGUGGAAUAGUCUUGUGCAAACUUUCUAAACUCAUUGAAACAAAAGCUAAAGAAUGUGAACGAAUGGUAAACUCACAGAGCCAUUGCCAAUUUACAAACUAAAGUGCAAUGAACGAGCCAAGUCAGGAACCUGGUUUGCACGGGACAAUGUGACUAAUUCUAGGCUGGUGCCGAGCUUAUGGGAUGACUGAUGAAACAAUGUUUGACUC
Molecule: unclassified non-coding RNA, 610 nt
Filed under: Pomacea canaliculata
Lineage: Eukaryota; Metazoa; Mollusca; Gastropoda; Architaenioglossa; Ampullariidae
Description: uncharacterized LOC112566499, transcript variant X2
Source: RNAcentral